CCUUCGGGGGGCAGCAGUGAGGAAUAUUGGUCAAUGGACGAGAGCCUGAACCAGCCAAGUAGCGUGAAGGAUGACUGCCCUAUGGGUUGUAAACUUCUUUUAUAUGGGAAUAAAGUGAUCCACGUGUGUGAUUUUGUAUGUACCUUAUGAAUAAGGAUCGGCUAACUCCGUGCCAGCAGCCGCGGUAAUACGGAGGAUCCGAGCGUUAUCCGGAUUUAUUGGGUUUAAAGGGAGCGUAGGUGGGUUGUUAAGUCAGUUGGGAAAGUGUGCGGCUCAACCGUACAAUUGCAGUUGAAACUGGCAGGCUUGAGUACAGUAGAGGUGGGCGGAAGUCGUGGUGUAGCGGUGAAAUGCUUAGAUAUCACGAAGAACUCCGAUUGCGAAGGCAGUUCACUGGACUGCAACUGACACUGAGGCUCGAAAGUGUGGGUAUCAAACAGGAUUAGAUACCCGUGUAGUC
Molecule: ribosomal RNA, 460 nt
Filed under: uncultured bacterium
Lineage: Bacteria
Description: partial 16S ribosomal RNA
Rfam family: Bacterial small subunit ribosomal RNA
Source: RNAcentral